Molecule: ribosomal RNA, 253 nt
Filed under: uncultured bacterium
Lineage: Bacteria
Description: partial 16S ribosomal RNA
Rfam family: Bacterial small subunit ribosomal RNA
Source: RNAcentral
UACGUAGGGUGCGAGCGUUAAUCGGAAUUACUGGGCGUAAAGCGUGCGCAGGCGGUUUUGUAAGACAGGCGUGAAAUCCCCGGGCUCAACCUGGGAAUGGCGCUUGUGACUGCAAGGCUGGAGUGCGGCAGCGGGGGAUGGAAUUCCGCGUGUAGCAGUGAGAUGCGUAGAUAUGCGGAGGAACACCGAUGGCGAAGGCAAUCCCCUGGGCCUGCACUGACGCUCAUGCGCGAAAGCGUGGGGAGCAAACAGG